Ictidomys tridecemlineatus (thirteen-lined ground squirrel) is the source of this 72-nucleotide non-coding RNA. Lineage: Eukaryota; Metazoa; Chordata; Mammalia; Rodentia; Sciuridae. The record is from Rfam.
GGAGUUGUGGCUCAGCGGUAGAGCGCUUGCCUUGCGCGUGCGAGACCCUGGGUUCGAUUCUCAGCACCUCAU